Molecule: ribosomal RNA, 704 nt
Filed under: uncultured fungus
Lineage: Eukaryota; Fungi
Description: SSU rRNA
Rfam family: Eukaryotic small subunit ribosomal RNA
Source: RNAcentral
GAGCCUGAGAAACGGCUACCACAUCCAAGGAUGGCAGCAGGCGCGCAAAUUACCCAAUCCCGACACGGGGAGGUAGUGACAAUAAAUAACAAUACGGGGUUCUUUAGGAUCUCGUAAUUGGAAUGAGUACAAUUUAAAUCUCUUAACGAGGAACAAUUGGAGGGCAAGUCUGGUGCCAGCAGCCGCGGUAAUUCCAGCUCCAAUAGCGUAUAUUAAAGUUGUUGCAGUUAAAAAGCUCGUAGUUGAAUUUCGGGGUUAGUAGGUUGGUCAUGCCUCUGGUAUGUACUGGUCUCACUGAUUCCUCCUUCCUUAUGAACCGUAAUGCCAUUAAUUUGGUGUUGCGGGGAAUUUGGACUGUUACUUUGAAAAAAUUAGAGUGUUUAAAGCAAGCUAACGCUUGAAUACAUUAGCAUGGAAUAAUGAAAUAGGACGUUCGAUCUUAUUUUGUUGGUUUCUAGGAUUGACGUAAUGAUUAAUAGGGAUAGUUGGGGGCAUUAGUAUUCAAUUGUCAGAGGUGAAAUUCUUGGAUUUAUUGAAGACUAACUACUGCGAAAGCAUUUGCCAAGGAUGUUUUCAUUAAUCAAGAACGAAAGUUAGGGGAUCGAAGACGAUCAGAUACCGUCGUAGUCUUAACCAUAAACUAUGCCGACUAGGGAUCGGAUGAUGUUAAUUUUUUAAUGACUCAUUCGGCGCCUUACGGGAAA